AUUGAACGCUGGCGGCAUGCUUUACACAUGCAAGUCGAACGGCAGCGCGGGCUUCGGCCUGGCGGCGAGUGGCGAACGGGUGAGUAAUGCAUCGGAACGUGCCCAGUAGUGGGGUAUAGCCCGGCGAAAGCCGGAUUAAUACCGCAUACGACCUGAGGGUGAAAGCGGGGGACCGAAAGGCCUCGCGCUAUUGGAGCGGCCGGUGUCGGAUUAGCUAGUUGGUGGGGUAAAGGCUUACCAAGGCGACGAUCCGUAGCUGGUCUGAGAGGACGACCAGCCACACUGGGACUGAGACACGGCCCAGACUCCUACGGGAGGCAGCAGUGGGGAAUUUUGGACAAUGGGGGCAACCCUGAUCCAGCCAUGCCGCGUGCGGGAAGAAGGCCUUCGGGUUGUAAACCGCUUCUGUUCGGGAAGAAAUCCUCUGGGCUAAUACCCCGGGGGGAUGACGGUACCGGAAGAAUAAGCACCGGCUAACUACGUG
RNAcentral lists this ribosomal RNA (484 nucleotides) under uncultured bacterium. Its description in RNAcentral is "partial 16S ribosomal RNA". It matches the Rfam family "Bacterial small subunit ribosomal RNA", at positions 28 to 507 of the family's 1533-position model. The record is from RNAcentral.